UACAGAGGGGGCAAGCGUUGUUCGGAAUUACUGGGCGUAAAGGGCGCGUAGGCGGCCUUCUAAGUCGAACGUGAAAUCCCCGGGCUCAACCCGGGAACUGCGUCCGAUACUGGAAGGCUUGAAUCCGGGAGAGGGAUGCGGAAUUCCAGGUGUAGCGGUGAAAUGCGUAGAUAUCUGGAGGAACACCGGUGGCGAAGGCGGCUACCUGGACAGAAACUGACGCUGAGGCGCGAAAGCUAGGGGAGCAAACAGG
Molecule: ribosomal RNA, 253 nt
Filed under: uncultured bacterium
Lineage: Bacteria
Description: partial 16S ribosomal RNA
Rfam family: Bacterial small subunit ribosomal RNA
Source: RNAcentral